CUACCUUUAGGUACGGGACAACAGUUGGAAACGACUGCUAAUACCGUAUGUGCCCUAUGGGGAAAGAUUUAUCGCCUAAGGAUGGGCCCGCGUUGGAUUAGCUAGUUGGUGGGGUAAAGGCCUACCAAGGCGACGAUCCAUAGCUGGUCUGAGAGGAUGAUCAGCCACACUGGGACUGAGACACGGCCCAGACUCCUACGGGAGGCAGCAGUGGGGAAUAUUGGACAAUGGGGGCAACCCUGAUCCAGCCAUGCCGCGUGAGUGAUGAAGGCCCUAGGGUUGUAAAGCUCUUUCAGCGAGGAGGAUAAUGACGUUACUCGCAGAAGAAGCCCCGGCUAACUUCGUGCCAGCAGCCGCGGUAAUACGAAGGGGGCUAGCGUUGUUCGGAAUCACUGGGCGUAAAGCGCACGUAGGCGGAUUGAUAAGUUAGGGGUGAAAUCCCAGGGCUCAACCCUGGAACUGCCUUUGAUACUGUCAGUCUUGAGACCGAGAGAGGUGAGUGGAACUCCGAGUGUAGAGGUGAAAUUCGUAGAUAUUCGGAAGAACACCAGUGGCGAAGGGGCUCACUGGCUCGGUACUGACGCUGAGGUGCGAAAGGUGGGGAGCAAACAGGAUUAGAUACCCUGGUAGUCCACGCCGUAAACGAUGGAAGCUAGUUGUCAGGCAGCAUGCUGUUUGGUGACGCAGCUAACGCAUUAAGCUUCCCGCCUGGGGAGUACGGUCGCAAGAUUAAAACUCAAAGGAAUUGACGGGGCCCGCACAAGCGUGGAGCAUGUGGUUUAAUUCGAAGCAACGCGCAGAACCUUACCAGCCCUUGACAUUUGGUGCUA
RNAcentral lists this ribosomal RNA (830 nucleotides) under uncultured bacterium. RNAcentral describes it as "bacterial SSU rRNA". It matches the Rfam family "Bacterial small subunit ribosomal RNA", at positions 126 to 996 of the family's 1533-position model. The record is from RNAcentral.